Molecule: transfer RNA, 71 nt
Filed under: Urocitellus parryii (Arctic ground squirrel)
Lineage: Eukaryota; Metazoa; Chordata; Mammalia; Rodentia; Sciuridae
Also listed under: 2 other names
Description: Spermophilus parryii (Arctic ground squirrel) tRNA
Rfam family: tRNA
About the family: Transfer RNA (tRNA) molecules are approximately 80 nucleotides in length. Their secondary structure includes four short double-helical elements and three loops (D, anti-codon, and T loops).
Source: Rfam by way of RNAcentral
GUGGAUGUGGCUCAAUAGUAGAGUGCCUGCCUAGCAUGUGAGAGACCCUGGGUUCAAUACCCAGUACCACA